Long non-coding RNA from Phyllostomus discolor (pale spear-nosed bat), 287 nucleotides. RefSeq lists it as uncharacterized. NCBI's taxonomy places the organism in Eukaryota, Metazoa, Chordata, Mammalia, Chiroptera, Phyllostomidae. The record is from RefSeq and is a predicted model, not a curated record. The transcript has 2 exons.
CAUGGAAACGCCCUGUGCCAGAGUCAAUGUGGUCAGCCUCCCAACUUAGAGAGCAUGAACUUCGAACAUCUGCCGUGGCCAGAGGAGACCAAUGCUGUAAUAGUUGGGAGCUAGCCAAGCCUUAAAGAACCUCAGGUGCCCAUAAUAAGGCUUGAGACAACCCAGAAUUCAGUGCUGACUGAAGCAGUGGAGAUGGAUGAAUUGCCCAGGGAGACUACGCUAAGUGAAAAGAGAAGAGGGCUUAGGAUGGUAAGAAUCCCAAGUAACAAACCAUAAAGCUGGGGAGA